RNAcentral lists this ribosomal RNA (507 nucleotides) under uncultured bacterium. Its description in RNAcentral is "partial 16S ribosomal RNA". It matches the Rfam family "Bacterial small subunit ribosomal RNA", at positions 28 to 507 of the family's 1533-position model. The record is from RNAcentral.
GACGAACGCUGGCGGCGUGCCUAAUACAUGCAAGUCGAACGCAUUUUCUUUCACCGUAGCUUGCUACACCGAAAGAAAAUGAGUGGCGAACGGGUGAGUAACACGUGGGUAACCUGCCCAUCAGCGGGGGAUAACACUUGGAAACAGGUGCUAAUACCGCAUAAUUCCAUUUACCGCAUGGUAGAUGGAUGAAAGGCGCUUUUGCGUCACUGAUGGAUGGACCCGCGGUGCAUUGGCUAGUUGGUGGGGUAACGGCCUACCAAGGCUGCGAUGCAUAGCCGAACGGGGGGGGGGGUCGGCCACACUGGGACGGGGACAGGGCCCAGACUCCUAAGGGAGGGAGCAGUAGGGAAUCGUCGGCAAUGGAGGGAAGUCUGGACGAGCAACGCCGGGGGAGUGAAGAAGGUUCUCGGAUCGGAAAACUCUGUUGUUAGAGAAGAACAAGGAUGAGAGUGGAAAGUUCAUCCCUUGACGGUAUCUAAACAGAAAGCCACGGCUAACUACGUG